CAGUCGCCGCGGUAAUACGAGGGGGGCAAGCGUUGUUCGGAAUUAUUGGGCGUAAAGGGUGCGUAGGCGGUUUCGUAAGUCUUAUGUGAAAUCUAUGGGCUCAACCCAUAGUCUGCAUGGGAAACUGCGAGGCUUGAGGAUGGGAGAGGUGAGUGGAAUUUCCGGUGUAGCGGUGAAAUGCGUAGAUAUCGGAAGGAACACCUGUGGCGAAAGCGGCUCACUGGACCAUUUCUGACGCUGAUGCACGAAAGCUAGGGGAGUAAACAGGAUUAGAUACCCGCGUAGUCCCUGUCUCUUAUAC
This 301-nucleotide ribosomal RNA is filed under the name uncultured bacterium. RNAcentral describes it as "partial 16S ribosomal RNA". It matches the Rfam family "Bacterial small subunit ribosomal RNA", at positions 509 to 807 of the family's 1533-position model. The record is from RNAcentral.